UCGUGGAGUGAUCUGUCUUGGUUAAUUCCGCUAACGAACGAGACCUUUACCUGCUAAAUACAGGGGCCAAUCCCGAUUGGCCCCCUGUUCUUAGAGGGACAGAGUCAGUCUAUGACUCGGAGGUUAAAGGCAAUAACA
This 138-nucleotide ribosomal RNA is filed under the name uncultured eukaryote. Its description in RNAcentral is "partial 18S ribosomal RNA". It matches the Rfam family "Eukaryotic small subunit ribosomal RNA", at positions 1299 to 1458 of the family's 1831-position model. The record is from RNAcentral.